RNAcentral lists this ribosomal RNA (215 nucleotides) under Glomeraceae sp. Its description in RNAcentral is "partial small subunit ribosomal RNA". The stretch from base 43 to 215 matches the Rfam family "Eukaryotic small subunit ribosomal RNA", at positions 690 to 864 of the family's 1831-position model. The record is from RNAcentral. RNAcentral also lists the same sequence under 1 other name. Lineage: Eukaryota; Fungi; Glomeromycota; Glomeromycetes; Glomerales; Glomeraceae.
GGAUCAAUAUAUCGGUCAUGCUUAGGUAUGUACUGGUAUUAUUGAUUUCUCCCUUCUGAAGAACCAUGAUGUCAUUUAUUUGAUGUCGUGGGGAAUCAGGACUGUUACUUUGAAAAAAUUAGAGUGUUUAAAGCAGGCUUUCGCUUGAAUACAUUAGCAUGGAAUAAUGAAAUAGGACGUUUGAUUCUAUUUUGUUGGUUUCUAGGAUCGACGUA